GUGGAGAAGGGUGAGGGGGAGCAGCACUUUCCCCCUUUCAGCAACUGCACCUCUGCCUGAGAUGAGUCUCAUUUUACCUGUACAGUAUUAAAAAAAAAAAAAAAACACCACCGUACUCCCUGCACCAACCACCCAACUGUUCCGACUUUCUUUAAAAGCAGCUGCUAAAGAAAAGCGGGAAAGACUGGGGCGGAGGGGAGACAAAUAAAUAAAUAAAAGCCAGCGCGAGGGGGAAGGGGAGAGCAGGGAGAGGGAGCGCCCGGGACGCGAGACAGCGGCGGGUUCAAUUAGCUAAACAAAGAAAUCAUGGCGGACUGUUUACGCUGGGCCGCGUCGGGCUGCGCGGACGCCGGCCCGAGCCGCCGCGGCCCCUGGAGUCGCAGAGCUGCCCCGCGCCCUGGCCGGAUUCUUGAGACUAUUGCUUUGCUGAAAACAUUUGACAGCCACUCUGGAAUGUGACACUUAAGAUGAAUUCUAGCCCAGGAAUGCAGGUGGAGGGCAUCUGAAGUGUUGUGAAAGCAGUGGCAUGGAGAUGUCUUCUUGCACCAGCGACUGGCUUUUUUACAGACACAGAGUUAUCAGAAGAACAUCUUUGCACAUUUGAAAAUUGGAGAUGGUGAUUCAUCUGUUCAGGAGACCUGCUGUUUAUUCAACCACGGGGCAAUUGUUGGUUUGUGGGCUUCUUGGAGCAAUUUUGCAGCACUGUCCCAAAGGUGACCCUCACCUCAUCACCUCUACUCUGGGUGAUGGAAAGCUACUGGAGAGUCUAUACAAGAUUAUCCCACACAGAUCUGUUGGAAUUACUCCGUGAUGAUUUCAAAGAAAAACUUCUUCUCUAAACUUUCUUAUCCCAAGGGGAGGACAUUGAAUCUUGCUCCAGAUGGGUCUGUUAUAUAACCACAACCAGGAAUAUGGAGUUAUCCCAGAGCUGACUGGGCCAGAAAACAUGGAUAACACAAUGCAAAUCUGACCCUAUUGCUGCCGGAGUGAAUCCAGAAGCCCUAAUAUACCCUGAUCAUGCACAGACAGUAGUACUACAGUGCUGGAGGUGCCUGGAGAGAGUGGAAGAUCUGCCCACCACAGCCUGUCUCAGGCCUGCUGGUGACCAUCCAUGCAUAUCACCACCCAGAAGCUCCUCAUUCUUACCUGUCAGGCAGACAGGACCUCCCAUUGCCUCCUCUACAUUCCUGUCCUUUUUUGAAGCAUUAUGGUCCUUGUGUGAAGCUGGGAAUGGGGAAGUUCAAGAGACCACCUGCAAAAAGGACUGUGCAAAGCAUCUUCUCAAUAACCUUGCCAACUCCCUGCAGCUGCCACAGGUCACCAAGUUAUCUGAGGGGUUUGGUCCCCAGACCUUCCUAACCCAUCCACAAGACUCAGCCCAGAAAACACGAUAAAGAGCCCAAAGAUUCAAAGGAAGAUUUUGAACUUGAUGAUGGAGGAAUAAUACUUCUUGGAGAAAUGAAGAUAAAGAUUGUUUCAUUCUUGGUACACCUGAGUGUCCAGUACCCAGUGAAUGUGAUAAGAAGUGGGCUGCUUACAAAGGGUACCUAGGCAGUGACAUCUGCACCUCUCGGAACCAGAUGCCACUGUGGACAUUUUCUCAACCUUUUUCCACUGUGCACACAGCUUGGCGUCCUGGCAGGCCUUUCCCCUAAUUUUUAACCUUCAGAUAUUCUAAGAGGGAGCUGAACAUAUGGUACAAACUGAAUAAAUGGGAGCAGAUGACUGCAAAGAGAACGUGAUUUAAUGUCAGGAAGAUAGACAAGUAGGUCUUUCUUAAAUUGAUAUGUGGUUGUAGGACCAUUGAAUCAUUUCUAUGUGAAUGUUCCUUCCUAGAUUUAGUAAAAUACUUCAAUUUGUGAGAAAUCCCAUGUCAAUAACAUAUAAACCGAGGAAAGCUUUAAGAUCUGUGCAGCUCCCAGAACAUCCUUAGAUUGUCUCUGCUUGCUCUUGUCACUUCCUCAAUGCCAGUCAUUCUUGUACAUUUCUUCCAUUGUAUUUUUCAUGAAGUAAACACAGUUAUUACCACAGAUUAGCAGACAAAUCGAGGCAGGGCUUCUCUUUUCUCCAUGAAGUUCUUCUGGACUUGUUUAUAUUGUAACAUCUUUGAAGGUGAGACACAUUCUAGUCUACAUUUGUUGGUACCUGGCACAUAUUGAGUACAUGGCCAAUUUUUUGACAGUAUCAAUUAAUAGUCAAACACGGAUGAAUGAAAAAGUUGAUGUUUUGUGAAGCCCUCAAUGAUUUAGAGAACAUUUAGAAAUGAAUCCAUUUCAUUUCCAAAGAAAAUUUUGCAUUAAGUUUUUUUUUUAAUUCUCCCAAGUGAGAUUUGGGGAAAUUUCAUAUGAUAAACUCUUUACAUUAUCUUGCAGUAAUUCCACAGAAAUCUCUAUUUAUGUAAACACAGUAAAUGCAUCAUAACACUAGAAUAAGUGUACAAAUACUGCAUGUCAAAUUAGGUUAUAAUCACUUUCAAGGGACGUGAUUUCCUAGCUAAACAGAUUCCUUUACAUUUUGCAAAAUAAAAAAUAAGUGAAAAUAACUAUAUAAAAUCAGGCUUACAGCUGGACAGAACUUCUUGGCAAUGGUCCAGACACUGAGCAGGGAAAACCCCUACAGCUGAGGAGUGUGUAGGGACUCUCGGGAUGACUUUGCAGGCUUGGCCUGGAGAGCUGCUCCUUUGGCUGAUUCCUGAGUGUGUACCUGUCCCUGAUGACCUGUAGGGAGAGAAGCUACAUUAACAUUUAAAAUGAGACUUGCUGUGAGAGGAUUAGGGGGUAGUGGGAGCAGAGUGGAAAUUUGUUUGGUUAAAGGGAAUAAAAAAUGUAAUUUGACAUUUCACCCUUAGGUAAAAAAGCAUGAUAGAGAAAGUCAGGGGUCUUGUAACUAAAAAAGUAAAUAGUUGAAGCUAACAUUGGAAUUGUUGAACAUUAGGUCAGGGUUUGAUUGCCAUGGAUCCUGUGGUCCAACCCGUGGAAUACAGAUGGGGAAAUGCUGGCUGCAGUGCAAAAAGCAGGGCUAGGUCUUGAGAUCAAGAAGUCUGCCUCCACAAACUGAUGUAUAUCUAUGAAAUAAUUGAAGCCUGUUCUUUGAAGAGAGUGAAUAGUUUAACAACUACUCAUUCUGGUGCAUAUCUUUAAAAAAUACAUUCUACAUCUCUCCAACACUUUCUACAACACUCUCUUAUUUUGAUUCCACAAGGGUAUAAUUGUAAGCCUCAGUUGCAAUAGAAUACUACAUAACUCAGUGGUAUUCUCUGUAGCCUAUUGGUAAUGCAGAGCUUUCACUUAGCUUCAAUAAAUUGUGUGUUUGCAUUUGGUUAUCUUUCCUAUGUUCCCUUAACUGUGUUCAUGUGCUUAUUUUUGUUGAUUUCAAGAAGUGACUAAAAUGGGGGAUUUUUUAAAAUCUGUUAAUUUUGACUUGAAGGUAGCUCACAAUUCUAUAUGUAUGAAGUGUUUCUGUUUUAGUUUAACUGAUACUAAUUUUUACUCAAAAUACAGUUGUUGAACACAUUUUCUAUAUACUGUGCAAAAGUUUCCCUCCACAUUCCAUUGGCUGAACUGCUGUGACCAGGGGUUGGCAAACUAUGCCCUGAAAGCUGAAACUAGUUCAGUGCCUGAUCUUGUAAAUAAAGUUUUAUUGAAAUACAAUCAUGCUAAUUUGUUUGUGUAUCAUCUAUGGAUGUUUUUGCACUCAAAUGGCAGAGUUAAGUACAUGG
Long non-coding RNA from Heterocephalus glaber (naked mole-rat), 3718 nucleotides. NCBI's taxonomy places the organism in Eukaryota, Metazoa, Chordata, Mammalia, Rodentia, Bathyergidae. The record is from Ensembl.